This 436-nucleotide ribosomal RNA is filed under the name uncultured bacterium. Its description in RNAcentral is "bacterial SSU rRNA". It matches the Rfam family "Bacterial small subunit ribosomal RNA", at positions 331 to 766 of the family's 1533-position model. The record is from RNAcentral.
CCAGACUCCUACGGGAGGCAGCAGUGGGGAAUAUUGCACAAUGGGGGAAACCCUGAUGCAGCGACGCCGCGUGAGUGAAGAAGUAUUUCGGUAUGUAAAGCUCUAUCAGCAGGGAAGAAAUAGCGACCUUUGGGUCGCCAGACGGUACCUGAUUAAGAAGCCCCGGCUAACUACGUGCCAGCAGCCGCGGUAAUACGUAGGGGGCAAGCGUUAUCCGGAUUUACUGGGUGUAAAGGGGGCGCAGACGGCAAUGCAAGCCAGGAGUGAAAGCCCGGGGCCCAACCCCGGGACUGCUCUUGGAACUGCAUGGCUGGAGUACAGGAGGGGCAGGCGGAAUUCCUAGUGUAGCGGUGAAAUGCGUAGAUAUUAGGAGGAACACCGGUGGCGAAGGCGGCCUGCUGGACUGUGACUGACGUUGAGGCCCGAAGGCGUGGGG